UACGUAGGGGGCAAGCGUUGUCCGGAUUUAUUGGGCGUAAAGAGCGUGUAGGCGGCUUCACAGGUCCGCUGUGAAAACUCGAGGCUCAACCUCGAGACGCCGAUGGAAACCCCCGAACUAGAGUCCGGAAGAGGAGAAUGGAAUUCCUGGUGUAGCGGUGAAAUGCGCAGAUAUCAGGAAGAACACCCGUGGCUAAGGCGGUUCUCUAGUACGGUACUGACGCUGAGACGCGAAAGCGUGGGGAGCGAACAGG
RNAcentral lists this ribosomal RNA (253 nucleotides) under uncultured bacterium. RNAcentral describes it as "partial 16S ribosomal RNA". It matches the Rfam family "Bacterial small subunit ribosomal RNA", at positions 524 to 776 of the family's 1533-position model. The record is from RNAcentral.